UACAGAGGGUGCGAGCGUUGUCCGGAAUCACUGGGCGUAAAGGGUGCGUAGGUGGCUUGGUAAGCGUGUGGUGAAAGUCCGGGGCUCAACCCCGGAUCUGCCGUGCGAACUGCCGAGCUCGAGCAUUGUAGAGGCAGGUGGAAUUCCGGGUGUAGCGGUGGAAUGCGUAGAGAUCCGGAAGAACACCAGUGGCGAAGGCGGCCUGCUGGGCAAUUGCUGACACUGAGGCACGACAGCGUGGGGAGCAAACAGG
RNAcentral lists this ribosomal RNA (253 nucleotides) under uncultured bacterium. Its description in RNAcentral is "partial 16S ribosomal RNA". It matches the Rfam family "Bacterial small subunit ribosomal RNA", at positions 524 to 776 of the family's 1533-position model. The record is from RNAcentral.